UUAGUUAUAUGGUGGAGUUUGAGUAUUUAUCUUUGACUUAAUUGUAAAGAGUUAUAUGACUAAAAUACAUUGUGCAGCUUCGUUUAGUAGAAUUUUAGAUGCUAUGAAGACAAAUUUAGAAGAAAGGGGAUCGACCAUGGUUUAUUAAUUAAGGGGCUUUUGGAUAAAGAUCUAUUUUUCAUGGAAUUGACAUAUAAGAACUAGACACAAGUGACGAUAUAUAUGAUAUUGAAAUAUUCCAAGGGCGUAUUUAUUGUGAUGAAAUUAUUGAAAGAAUGUUAUUCGGUUUUAAUUUGUAACCAUUGUUAUAGAAAA
This 315-nucleotide long non-coding RNA is filed under the name Olea europaea (common olive). RNAcentral describes it as "long non-coding RNA (OEUR_LNC015048)". The record is from RNAcentral. Lineage: Eukaryota; Viridiplantae; Streptophyta; Magnoliopsida; Lamiales; Oleaceae.